UUCGCCUCAGUAACGGCGAGUGAAGCGGCAAGAGCUCAAAUUUGAAAUCUGGCCCCUUUGGGGUCCGAGUUGUAAUUUGCAGAGGAUGCUUCGGGUGCGGUCCCCGUCUAAGUGCCCUGGAACGGGCCGUCAUAGAGGGUGAGAAUCCCGUCUGGGAUGGGCGGCCGCGCCCGUGUGAAGCUCCUUCGACGAGUCGAGUUGUUUGGGAAUGCAGCUCUAAGCGGGUGGUAAAUUUCAUCUAAAGCUAAAUACUGGCCGGAGACCGAUAGCGCACAAGUAGAGUGAUCGAAAGAUGAAAAGCACUUUGAAAAGAGAGUUAAACAGCACGUGAAAUUGUUGAAAGGGAAGCGUUGUCCACCAGACUCGCCCGGGGGGGUUCAGCCGGCACCUGUGCCGGUGUACUCCUCUCCGGGCGGGCCAGCAUCGGUUUGGGCGGCUGGUGAAAGGCCCCGGGAAUGUACCACCCUCCGGGGUGCCUUAUAGCCCGGGGUGCCAUGCAGCCAGCCUGGACCGAGGCCCGCGCUUCGGCGAGGAUGCUGGCGUAAUGGUGGUCAACGGCCCGUCUUGAAACACGGACCAAGGAGUCUAACAUCUAUGCGAGUGUUCGGGUGUCAAACCCGUCCGCGCAGUGAAAGCGAACGGAGGUGGGAGCCCCUCGGGGCGCACCAUCGACCGAUCCUGAUGUCUUCGGAUGGAUUUGAGUAAGAGCAUAGCUGUUGGGACCCGAAAGAUGGUGAACUAUGCCUGAAUAGGGCGAAGCCAGAGGAAACUCUGGUGGAGGCUCGCAGCGGUUCUGACGUGCAAAUCGAUCGUCAAAUUUGGGUAUAGGGGGCGAAAGACUAAUCGAACCAUCUGGUAGCUGGUUCCUGCCGAAGU
RNAcentral lists this ribosomal RNA (876 nucleotides) under Talaromyces funiculosus. RNAcentral's name for it is "LSU rRNA". It matches the Rfam family "Eukaryotic large subunit ribosomal RNA", at positions 73 to 967 of the family's 3401-position model. Lineage: Eukaryota; Fungi; Ascomycota; Eurotiomycetes; Eurotiales; Trichocomaceae. The record is from RNAcentral.